Carcharodon carcharias (great white shark) is the source of this 3369-nucleotide RNA transcript. It is a transcript of the gene named PHD finger protein 14, with no coding region annotated. The transcript is spliced from 22 exons. NCBI's taxonomy places the organism in Eukaryota, Metazoa, Chordata, Chondrichthyes, Lamniformes, Lamnidae. The record is from RefSeq and is a predicted model, not a curated record.
ACGUCAGGGCGCCGGUGGCCGCCGCGAGCCCGAGCUCGAGCCGAAGCAGUUAUGUCCGGGAAAGAGGAGAGCGACACAGCAAUGAAGAGCAUGUUUGAACGUGGUCCAAAGAAGAGACAAGUGAAGACGCUAGCAACAUCCCUCUUGGAAGCAUUAGAUUAUGACAGCUCAGAUGACAGUGAUUUUGAAGUGGGAGAUGCUUCAGAUUCUGAUGGGAGUGGAGAGAGUGCUGGUAAGGACAGUGAAGAAGGUUCAGAGAGUGAAGGGGGACAAAAUGGCAGUGAAGAGGACUCUGAACAGGAUAAAAAGGAUACUUCUGAUGGAAAGAUAGAAGCUGAAUGCAAAGACGAUCAGUCAGAAGAACCUGACCUGGACACCAAAGAACAAGCUGAAAGCAAAACCAGCAAGAAGAAAACUAAAGAAAUAGUGGAUGAUGCUGGGCCAGAUGAAUCAAAUGAUGGACAGAAGAAAUGGAAUUUGCGUAAAAAGAGGACAAUGCUGGAUAUGAUAUCAGUCGAAGAGUUGAAUGGUUUUGAUGAUUAUGAUAGUGAAGAUGAUAAUGACUGGCGACCUUGUAGUGGAAAGAAGAAAGGAAAAGGUGUAAAUAACGAUGAUGGUGAUGAAGGUGGUGGUGAGGAUGAUGAUAUCAGUGACAGUGAAGAUGGAAACCCUGAUGAUGAGGAAGACAGUAGCAGUGCCAGUGAAGAAGAUAGAAUUCGAAGAAAAAACAGACCUUCAAGUCAAAAAGCUGCCAAGACAGAAGGAACAAGUGAUGGCUUUAUUCUGACGCAGAAUAAGAAUUAUGAGGACUCCUUUUUAGCAGAGAGAGAACAAAACUUCAGUUCACAGAAAAUGGACUUAGUACAGAUAUGCUGUGUUUGUCUGGGAGAUAACAGUGAAGAUGCAGACGAAAUUGUCCAGUGCGACAAUUGUGGAGUGACUGUACAUGAAGGUUGCUAUGGUGUUGAUGGAGAAAGUGACUCCAUUAUGAGUUCUGCCUCUGAAAAUUCUACAGAACCUUGGUUCUGUGACGCAUGCAAAUGUGGAGCAUCACCUAGUUGUGAGUUGUGCCCCAAUGUGGAUGGAAUUUUUAAAGAAACAGAUGCUGGAAGGUGGGUUCAUGUUGUUUGUGCCCUUUAUGUACCUGGUGUGGCAUUUGGAGAUAUAGACAAACUUCGUCCUGUCACUCUUACAGAAAUGAACUAUUCAAAAUACGGUGCUAAGGAAUGCAGUUUAUGUGAAGACAUACGAUUUGCUCGAACUGGUGUAUGCAUAAGCUGUGAUGCUGGUAUGUGCAGAGCUUAUUUCCAUGUGACCUGUGCUCAGAGAGAAGGGCUACUUUCUGAAGCAGCUGCUGAAGAGGAUAUAGCUGAUCCAUUUUUUGCAUAUUGCAAACAGCAUGCUGACAAGUUUGAUAGAAAAUGGAAACGAAAGAACUAUUUAGCUUUACAGUCCUACUGCAAAAUGACUUUGCAAGAGCGAGACAAGCAUGUUACCCCAGAAGCACAGGCUCGCAUUACUACAAGACUGCAGCAAUAUCGUGCUAAAGUGGAGCUAGCUCGCAGCACCAAACCCAAUGCAUGGGUUCCCAGGGAGAAGCUGCCACGACCACUCACCAGUAGCGCCUCAGUGAUACGCAAGCUUAUGCGGAAAGCUGAACUGAUGGGAAUUAGCACAGACAUUUUCCCUGUAGACACGCUAGAUACCAACUCCAGUGUAGAUGGCAGGAGAAAGCACAAGCAGCCAGCUUUGACUGCUGACUUUGUGAAUUAUUAUCUCGAGAGGAACAUGCGCAUGAUGCAGAUACAGGAAAACAUUUGUGAACAAAAGAACUUAAAGGAUAAACUUCAAAAUGAGCAGGAAUCACUUCAUGUAGAGUAUAAUAAGUUGUUUGAAUCUCUAGAAAACCUGCGAAAUAUGAAUGGUAAAUUACGUCGAGAAGGCCAGACAUUGUGGAGUACACUCAGUAACAUUGUUGGGCAGAAAUUGAAUUUCCCUGUGAUUCUGCGUACUCCCAAGGAACGACGACCAAGUAAGAAGGAUGGAGGAACUUUGAAAUCAUUAGCACCUCCAGCAGUAUUGUACAGUUGUGGAAUUUGUAAGAAGAAUCAUGACCAGCACCUUCUUGUCCUGUGUGACACUUGCAAACUCUACUACCAUCUUGGCUGCCUAGACCCACCCCUCACCAGGAUGCCCAAGAAGACAAAAAAUAGUUACUGGCAGUGUUCUGAAUGCGACCAAGCAGGUAGUAGUGACUUGGAAGCAGAUAUUACCAUGGAAACUUUACCAGAUGGCACCAAGAGAUCAAGGAGGCAGAUUAAGGAACCUGUGAAGUUCACUCCAUUGGAUAUUGUGAUUGAACCAAAGAAGAUCAUGAACAAAAAUAUGGUACUGCCUGAUGCAAGAACCACAUGCUCAUCAAUGAGGAGUAGAGGACAGAAACGAAAAAGGGGAACCAGCUCUGAUGGAGAAAAAGCUGAGGAACCAAUUCCUCCUAGAGCAAGGCGGCGACGACAGACCUCAUUACAGAAAAGACCAAAAUCAGAAGAUCUGAGAACAGAAUGUGCUACAUGUAAAAGUCCUGGAGACAAUGAAAAUUUAGUCAGGGCAAAGAACAGAAGAGGGUUUUGGUGGGUGUUUCGUAAAAUCAGCGUUCAAGAUCAAGGAAAUUUGUUGCAUAAAAAUGAAUACAGGUGUGAUGAAUGCAGACUCUGUUACCACUUUGGCUGCCUCGACCCACCACUGAAGAAAUCCCCAAAACAGACAGGCUAUGGUUGGAUCUGUCAGGAGUGUGACUCUACAUCUUCAAAAGCUCUGCUGAAACUGAUGGAGCUUGAUGGACAUUUUGACAAGCUUUUCUUUCCAGAUUGCAGUAGCAUUCAAUCACUGACUUGACUGAAUUUCAAAUAACAUAUGGUGCUACCAGUAAUUGGAAAAUUGGCAGGCUUGUCAGGAAGCUUUGGUGGAUAGUGCAUGAAAUACAACACAGAGGCAUAAAACGUCUGUAAAAUAAGAUUCAUAGCCACUUCAGCUGACUGAAGUAACUGUCUGCAGAAUAGAAGAACAUUUUGUCACAAAAACUACUUGGUACUAUUAAUUUUGAGGAAGACGAAGAGGAGCUCGAGGAAGAUGAAGAAGGUGACGAAGAAAAUGUUUUGGAAGAAAAUGAUUUCACCCCGAUAAAUGAAUAAGAUAAAAAAAGUAUAACUAGCCAUAUAGAAAAUAGAAAUGAUAAAUGCCUCAUGUUGAGAUCUACCUUUAAAAAUAGUGAUCUGUCUGCUUUGUUCUUCAAAACAGCUUUCAUCAAAAGUUGUGUUAAUUCCAUGUCUGUGAACCUGUUAAUAAAUACCUCAAAAAUGUUUUUAAAAA